RNAcentral lists this ribosomal RNA (305 nucleotides) under uncultured bacterium. RNAcentral's name for it is "bacterial SSU rRNA". It matches the Rfam family "Bacterial small subunit ribosomal RNA", at positions 337 to 640 of the family's 1533-position model. The record is from RNAcentral.
UCCUACGGGGGGCAGCAGUGAGGAAUAUUGGUCAAUGGUCGGGAGACUGAACCAGCCAAGCCGCGUGAGGGAGGAAGGUACAGAGUAUCGUAAACCUCUUUUGUCAGGGAACAAAGGCGGGGACGUGUCCCCGGAUGAGUGUACCUGAAGAAAAAGCAUCGGCUAACUCCGUGCCAGCAGCCGCGGUAAUACGGGGGAUGCGAGCGUUAUCCGGAUUUAUUGGGUUUAAAGGGUGCGCAGGCGGUCUGUUAAGUCAGCGGUCAAAGCCCGGGGCUCAACCCCGGCCCGCCGGUGAAACUGGCAGG